RNAcentral lists this ribosomal RNA (497 nucleotides) under uncultured bacterium. Its description in RNAcentral is "partial 16S ribosomal RNA". It matches the Rfam family "Bacterial small subunit ribosomal RNA", at positions 28 to 507 of the family's 1533-position model. The record is from RNAcentral.
GAUGAACGCUGGCGGCGUGCCUAAUACAUGCAAGUCGAGCGAACAGACGAGGAGCUUGCUCCUCUGACGUUAGCGGCGGACGGGUGAGUAACACGUGGAUAACCUACCUAUAAGACUGGGAUUACUUCGGGAAACCGGAGCUAAUACCUGAUAAUAUAUUGAACCGCAUGGUUCAAUAGUGAAAGACGGUUUUGCUGUCACUUAUAGAUUGAUCCGCGCCGCAUUAGCUAGUUGGUAAGGUAACGGCUUACCAAGGCGACGAUGCGUAGCCGACCUGAGAGGGUGAUCGGCCACACUGGAACUGAGACACGGUCCAGAAGCCUACGGGAGGCAGCAGUAGGGAAUCUUCCGCAAUGGGCGAAAGCCUGACGGAGCAACGCCGCGUGAGUGAUGAAGGUCUUAGGAUCGUAAAACUCCGUUAUUAGGGAAGAAAAAAUGUGUAAGUAACUAUGCACAUCUUGACGGUACCUAAUCAGAAAGCCACGGAUAACUACGUG